Molecule: ribosomal RNA, 254 nt
Filed under: uncultured bacterium
Lineage: Bacteria
Description: partial 16S ribosomal RNA
Rfam family: Bacterial small subunit ribosomal RNA
Source: RNAcentral
UACGUAGGGGGCGAGCGUUGUCCGGAUUUAUUGGGCGUAAAGAGCUCGUAGGCGGUUUGGCAAGUCGGGUGUGAAAACUCCGGGCUCAACUCGGAGACGCCACUCGAUACUGCCAUGACUAGAGUCCGGUAGGGGAGUGCGGAAUUCCUGGUGUAGCGGUGAAAUGCGCAGAUAUCAGGAGGAACACCGGUGGCGAAGGCGGCACUCUGGGCCGGUACUGACGCUGAGGAGCGAAAGCGUGGGGAGCGAACAGG